Long non-coding RNA from Hylaeus volcanicus, 394 nucleotides. RefSeq lists it as uncharacterized. NCBI's taxonomy places the organism in Eukaryota, Metazoa, Arthropoda, Insecta, Hymenoptera, Colletidae. The record is from RefSeq and is a predicted model, not a curated record. The transcript has 3 exons.
UUUUUUGGUGUUAUAAAAUUGUUUCACAUGAAAGAAAAAAAAAACACUCUUGCCGCCUUACUAUUUGAAUUUUCAAUGUCGCCACUGUUGGUUUCCAAAUGAUUCAUAAAGUCUUUCAAUGAGAAACACUACGCAAAUGUGAAUCAUCAGCUUACGAGAAUGACUGGAAAUAGAAGUUCUCUUGUGAAACUGAGGGUUUGAAACGAGGUUGUGUUUACCUGAGUUAAGGAGUGCAACUUGACGUACUACUUGAGUAGGCUUGAAUGCGUCUGAUUCAUUACGGGUAGUUUUAAAGCACAAAAUUUGUGUGAAGGAAUUUGCGUUGAUGUCGUACAGUUUGUGUUGAAGGAAAUAUUUUUUUGAGGAAGACAUACUACCGUGGAUUUUAUCUGAG